CCUACGGGAGGCAGCAGUGAGGAAUAUUGGUCAAUGGACGAGAGUCUGAACCAGCCAAGUCGCGUGAAGGAUGACUGCCCUAUGGGUUGUAAACUUCUUUUAUAAAGGAAUAAAACGAGCCACGUGUGCCUUUUUGCAUGUACUUUAUGAAUAAGGAUCGGCUAACUGCGUGCCAGCAACCGCGGUAAUACGGAGGGUCCGAGCGUUAUCCGGAUUUAUUUGGUUUAAAGGGAGCGUAGAGGGGUUGUUAAGUCAGUUGUGAAAGUGUGCGGCUCAAACCUCACAUUGCAAUUGAUACUGGCAGUCUUGAGUGCAGUUGAGGUAGGCGGAAUUCGUGGUGUAGCGGUGAAAUGCUUAGAUAUCACGAAGAACCCCGAUUGCGAAGGCAGCUUACUA
RNAcentral lists this ribosomal RNA (396 nucleotides) under uncultured bacterium. Its description in RNAcentral is "partial 16S ribosomal RNA". It matches the Rfam family "Bacterial small subunit ribosomal RNA", at positions 338 to 731 of the family's 1533-position model. The record is from RNAcentral.